Molecule: small RNA, 22 nt
Filed under: Arabidopsis thaliana (thale cress)
Lineage: Eukaryota; Viridiplantae; Streptophyta; Magnoliopsida; Brassicales; Brassicaceae
Description: Ath_wt_15025
Source: RNAcentral
CCACCAAUAGGGAACGUGAGCU